RNAcentral lists this ribosomal RNA (465 nucleotides) under uncultured bacterium. RNAcentral's name for it is "bacterial SSU rRNA". It matches the Rfam family "Bacterial small subunit ribosomal RNA", at positions 66 to 504 of the family's 1533-position model. The record is from RNAcentral.
ACGGUCUUCGUUCCCUUUUUUUGGGGGUGGGGUUAGUGGCGAACGGGUGAGUAACACGUGAGUAACCUGCCCCUCACUUCUGGAUAACCGCUUGAAAGGGUGGCUAAUACGGGGUGUUCUGGCCUGCUCGCAUGGGUGGGUUUGGAAAGAUUCGACCGGUUUUGGUUGUUUUGGUGGGGGAUGGGCUCGCGGCCUAUCAGCUUGUUGGUGGGGUGAUGGCCUGCCAAGGCUUUGACGGGUAGCCGGCCUGAGAGGGUGGGCGGUCACACUGGGACUGAGACACGGCCCAGACUCCUACGGGAGGCAGCAGUGGGGAAUAUUGCACAAUGGGCGCAAGCCUGAUGCAGCGACGCCGCGUGAGGGAUGGAGGCCUUCGGGUUGUGAACCUCUUUCGCCAGUGAAGAAGGUCCUGCUCUUUGUGGUGGGGUUGACGGUAGCUGGGUUAAUGAAGCGCCGGCUAACUAC